CGAACUUUUAAUUUCGUCGGCUAAAGUAUAGUAUAGCCGACGAAAUUUUUUUUCGUCGGCCAAAGUUUUCCUUAGUAGACAAAAAAAAAUCUCGUCGGCUAUUAUCGAGAAAAGUCGUCGACUAUUAUUUCGUCAGCUAAAAGAAAAACAAUAAAAUGUUGUAUAACUUGCUUAGUAGGUUUUAAACAAAUACAAAAAUCUACAUAUAAGCAAAAUUAACAAAAAUCUCGUGAAAUAAGAUGUGUUCAGAAUGGUGAAAUAUGACUAUGGUUCAAAAAUCACGUAAAUCAGGUAACGUCUCUGAUGUAGAACAGUCGAAACUCGGUAUGCUGCAGAUUUGGCGUUCGGUGUCCGAUUGACUAUUGUGAUACCUUUCCGGAAGCGUAACGGUCCUACGAGUCAAACUCAUCGCUAUACCAUGACAUAUGGGCCUUUUUGGCCAUCCGAGUCCGUUUAGGGCUUCAAAAUGCAGUUUUCUUAUUUCUGAUUAGAGUUGACCGUUUUGAUCGAGCCCUUAACGUUGUCGGAUCCAGUUGAAUUUUUUACCAUAGACAUCUUUCAUCAUAAUGAUCAUAUCUGAUGGUCGAAUUUUGGUUUUUGAAUUUUAGUCAUCAGAAUUACAACAUGUCUACUAAUGUUGUAUAACUUGUUUAGUAGGUUAUACAACUUUGUGAAUCAACUCUACAUAGGAAGCAAAAUUAUCAAAAAUCUCGUGAAAUAAGAUGUGCUCAAAAUGGUGAAAUACGGCUAUGGUUCAAAAAUCACGGAAACCGGGUAAGGCCUCGGUGCCGAUAGUAGCGGUCAACCCUAUUUACUAUUAUUAUCCCCUAUGGGGAGCCUUAUUGCCAGAAGGUAAAUGUCUACAAUUUUUAUAUGGGUCAUUGCGUCUCAUCUACGUGAGAGUUUUUUGUGUGGAAGGUUUGACCAAACUAUGUAAUAUAGAGGGAGAUAUGAGCGUUUUCGUGUGAUAAGUGACGAUGGAUUAGGGUUGACCGUUUCGAUCAAGCCCUUAACGUUGUCGGAUCCAAUUGAAUUUUUUACCAUAGACAUCUUUUGUCAUAAUGUUCAUAUCUAAUGGUCGAAUUUUGGUUUGUGAAUUUUAGUCAUCGGAAUCACAACGUGUCUACUAAUGUUGUAUAACUUGUUUAGUAAGUUAUACAACUUUGUGAACCAACUCUACAUAGGAAGCAAAAUUAUCAAAAAUCUCAUGAAAUAAGAUGUGUUCAAAAUGAUGAAAUACGGCUAUAUUUCAAAAAUCACGUAAAUCGGGUAACGUCUCGGUGCCGAUAGUAGCGGUCAACCCUAUUUACCGUUAUUAUUCCCUAUAGGGAGCCCUAUCGUCGGAAGGUAAAUGUCUCAAAAUUUUUAUAUAGGCGAUUGCGUCUCAUCUACGUGAAAGUUUUUCGUGUGGAAGGUUUGACCAAACUAUGUAAUAUAGAGGGAGAUAUGAGCGUUUUCGUGAAUUUAUAGACUUUAGCCGACGAGAUAUUAAAACAGUCGUCGGCUAAGGUCAAAAUUGUUUUGGCGGUAAACCAAAUUUGGAGGAAAAUUUUCAAAUGACUUUGGCCGACGAAAAUAAUUGAAAAGUCGUCGGCUAAAGUUGAAAACAAAUUUGGUGGCAAACCAAAUUUGAGGGAAAAUUUUCAAAGGACUUAAACCGACGAAAAUAUAUGAUUUCGUCGGCUAUUGUCAAAAUUUUUUGGCGGUCAACCAAAAUUUUAAAAAUUUUCAAAGGAGUUUAGCCGACGAAAAUUAAGAAUUUCGUUGGGUAAAGUUUUUUAUAUAGGAGUUUUACCGGAGGUGGAUAAUAAGAAGUCAGAAAAUCAGAAAAAGUUAUUGUUUCGCCUGCCGGAUUUUCUUCUCGGCCUAGCUCCGUCGUCAAGCCACCGGAGACCGCCACACUUGUACUCAAAAGCUUCGUCGUCGUCUCUACUUCAUUGCUGGACAGGUGGUCCAUCGAGUGGCGUCCGCCGUGAGGAUAAAUCGAGCUCCAAAACUCCGCCGGUUCGGAUUCGGUGUCGAUCAAAUUUCUCUUUCCUCAGGUCACCAUUUGGUGAGUUAUAUAUAUGGAUAAGUUGAGUUUGAUUAGUACUACAUUCCCCUAGAAUUUGGUAGCUCGAUUCGGUGUGUGUGAGGAGAAUCGAAGAUUUGAAGUUUUUAGGGUUUAAAAUUGGGGAUUUUUAUAUUUUGAUUCAAUUGACCUGUUUAAGCUUAGAAUUGGGCUUGGACUUCUUCUAGAAAGUUGUUCGAAAUGUUGAGAGGAAGAUUCUGUCAAAUUUUAGUGGUGAUUGGAGGUGGUCGAAAGUUUCUGCAGUUUUUUUUUUCAAAAACCAGCAACUUUAGCCGACGAUAUUUAAAUAAUUCAGCCGACGAUAUUUAAAUACUUUAGCCGAAGAAUUAUGACUAUAUUUCGUCGGCUAUAGUUAUUUUUUAAUUUUUUAUUACAUACUUUAGCCGACGAAUAUCGUCAUCGGCUAAAGUCUCAGACUAUGGUCGACGAAACAUUUAAGAUAUUCGUCGGCUAAAGUCCCAGAUAAUAGCCGACGACGUCUUCUGUCGUCGGCUAAAUAGUGGACAAUAGCCGACGACGAUUUCUAGUUUCGUCGGCUAAAGUCAUCGCCGACGACCCUUUCCCGACGAAACUAUAGCCGACGAAGGCUCGUCGGCUAAGAUCUUAGCCGACGAAUUAAGCUAACAGGCCGACGAAACUUUUUCGUCGGCUAAAGUGAUUGUCCUGGUAGUGUUACGCCUCUUGUUGAAUUAAACUAUGUUCAAUACUAAUUGAUUCUCAUGCUAACAGAUAAUGCUUGAGUCCAAUUUUGAUCUUACAACAGCACCCAACAAAAAUGAAUGAAAAAUGAACAAGAUUUACUCCAUAUAUAUAUGAGGGCAGAUAUAUGUUUUCAUUUUGUUCAUCAACAAAAUUGACAAAUCAAUACGUCUCCCUCCCCCUUGUAGUUUGAAAAUUAAAAACACAACAAUGCCACAGAAUCUACAUCUCAUUACUAAAGAGAAUAGAAAGCCAAUACCUGCCGUCUCCGCCCGUCUGAGUUUCUUCUCUUGGCUGACAGAGCAGAGCUGGACAACUAACGGGCCGAAGUACGUAUAGAACAACAUUAUUUUGUACCUUUUCUGUUAAUGUGACAAACGAGCUGAACUCAGACUCGACUCAGACUCGGACAAGAAAUCUAAC
This 3193-nucleotide long non-coding RNA is filed under the name Fragaria vesca (wild strawberry). Its description in RNAcentral is "long non-coding RNA (FVES_LNC003648)". Lineage: Eukaryota; Viridiplantae; Streptophyta; Magnoliopsida; Rosales; Rosaceae. The record is from RNAcentral.